GACGAACGCUGGCGGCGUGCUUAACACAUGCAAGUCGAACGGAAAGGCCCUGCUUUUGUGGGGUGCUCGAGUGGCGAACGGGCGAGUAACACGUGAGUAACCUGCCCUUGACUUUGGGAUAACUUCAGGAAACUGGGGCUAAUACCGGAUAGGAGCUCCUGCUGCAUGGUGGGGGUUGGAAAGUUUCGGCGGUUGGGGAUGGACUCGCGGCUUAUCAGCUUGUUGGUGGGGUAGUGGCUUACCAAGGCUUUGACGGGUAGCCGGCCUGAGAGGGUGACCGGCCACAUUGGGACUGAGAUACGGCCCAGACUCCUACGGGAGGCAGCAGUGGGGAAUAUUGCACAAUGGGCGGAAGCCUGAUGCAGCAACGCCGCGUGCGGGAUGACGGCCUUCGGGUUGUAAACCGCCUUCGCCUGUGACGAAGCGUGAGUGACGGUAAUGGGUAAAGAAGCACCGGCUAACUACGUG
Molecule: ribosomal RNA, 468 nt
Filed under: uncultured bacterium
Lineage: Bacteria
Description: partial 16S ribosomal RNA
Rfam family: Bacterial small subunit ribosomal RNA
Source: RNAcentral